AUGACGUCAAGUCAGCAUGGCCUCUAUGUCCAGGGCUACACACACGCUACAAUGGCCGGUACAGUGGGUUGCAAACCGCGAGGUGGAGCUAAUCCUCAAAGCCGGUCUCAGUUCGGAUUGUAGGCUGCAACUCGCCUGCAUGAAGUCGGAGUUGCUAGUAACCGCGCGUCAGCUAUAGCGCGGUGAAUACGUUCCCGGGCCUU
Molecule: ribosomal RNA, 203 nt
Filed under: uncultured Anaerolineaceae bacterium
Lineage: Bacteria; Bacillati; Chloroflexota; Anaerolineae; Anaerolineales; Anaerolineaceae
Description: partial 16S ribosomal RNA
Rfam family: Bacterial small subunit ribosomal RNA
Source: RNAcentral